This 560-nucleotide ribosomal RNA is filed under the name Thermochaetoides thermophila. RNAcentral describes it as "partial 28S ribosomal RNA". It matches the Rfam family "Eukaryotic large subunit ribosomal RNA", at positions 38 to 625 of the family's 3401-position model. The record is from RNAcentral. Lineage: Eukaryota; Fungi; Ascomycota; Sordariomycetes; Sordariales; Chaetomiaceae.
GCAUAUCAAUAAGCGGAGGAAAAGAAACCAACAGGGAUUGCCCUAGUAACGGCGAGUGAAGCGGCAACAGCUCAAAUUUGAAAGCUGGCUUCGGCCCGCGUUGUAAUUUGGAGAGGAUGCUUUGGGCGAGGCUCCUUCUGAGUUCCCUGGAACGGGACGCCACAGAGGGUGAGAGCCCCGUAUAGUUGGAAGCCAAGCCUGUGUAAAGCUCCUUCGACGAGUCGAGUAGUUUGGGAAUGCUGCUCAAAAUGUGAGGUAAAUUUCUUCUAAAGCUAAAUACCGGCCAGAGACCGAUAGCGCACAAGUAGAGUGAUCGAAAGAUGAAAAGCACUUUGAAAAGAGGGUUAAAUAGCACGUGAAAUUGUUGAAAGGGAAGCGCUUGUGACCAGACUUGCGCCCGGCGGAUCAUCCGGUGUUCUCACCGGUGCACUCCGCCGGGCUCAGGCCAGCAUCGGUUCUGGCGGGGGGAUAAAGGCCCAGGGAAUGUGGCUCCUCCGGGAGUGUUAUAGCCCUGGGUGUAAUACCCUCGCCGGGACCGAGGACCGCGCUCUGCAAGGAUG